Molecule: ribosomal RNA, 253 nt
Filed under: uncultured bacterium
Lineage: Bacteria
Description: partial 16S ribosomal RNA
Rfam family: Bacterial small subunit ribosomal RNA
Source: RNAcentral
UACGAAGGGGGCUAGCGUUGCUCGGAAUCACUGGGCGUAAAGCGCACGUAGGCGGAUCGCUAAGUCAGGGGUGAAAUCCUGGAGCUCAACUCCAGAACUGCCUUUGAUACUGGCAAUCUCGAGUCCGGGAGAGGUGAGUGGAACUGCGAGUGUAGAGGUGAAAUUCGUAGAUAUUCGCAAGAACACCAGUGGCGAAGGCGGCUCACUGGCCCGGUACUGACGCUGAGACGCGAAAGCGUGGGGAGCGAACAGG